AUUGAACGCUGGCGGCAUGCCUUACACAUGCAAGUCGAACGGCAGCACGGGAGCAAUCCUGGUGGCGAGUGGCGAACGGGUGAGUAAUGUAUCGGAACGUACCUUUCAGUGGGGGAUAACGUAGCGAAAGUUACGCUAAUACCGCAUAUUCUGUGAGCAGGAAAGCAGGGGAUCGCAAGACCUUGCGCUGAUUGAGCGGCCGAUAUCAGAUUAGCUAGUUUGUGAGGUAAAGGCUCACCAAGGCGACGAUCUGUAGCGGGUCUGAGAGGAUGAUCCGCCACACUGGAACUGAGACACGGUCCAGACUCCUACGGGAGGCAGCAGUGGGGAAUUUUGGACAAUGGGCGCAAGCCUGAUCCAGCCAUGCCGCGUGAGUGAAGAAGGCCUCGG
RNAcentral lists this ribosomal RNA (390 nucleotides) under uncultured bacterium. Its description in RNAcentral is "bacterial SSU rRNA". It matches the Rfam family "Bacterial small subunit ribosomal RNA", at positions 30 to 420 of the family's 1533-position model. The record is from RNAcentral.